AUACCAGACUCCUACGGGAGGCAGCAGUGAGGAAUAUUGGUCAAUGGGCGGAAGCCUGAACCAGCCAAGUCGCGUGAGGGAAGAAGGCCCUGCGGGUCGCAGACCUCUUUGGACGGGGAGCAAGGCCGCCGACGUGUCGGCGGAAGGAGAGUACCCGUAGAACAAGCAUCGGCUAACUCCGUGCCAGCAGCCGCGGUAAUACGGAGGAUGCGAGCGUUAUCCGGAUUUAUUGGGUUUAAAGGGUGCGCAGGCGGCACGGCAAGCCGGCGGUGAAAUCGCGGGGCUAAACCCCGCCCAGCCGUCGGAACUGGCGGGCUAGAGUGGGCGAGAAGUGCGCGGAAUGCGUGGUGUAGCGGUGAAAUGCAUAGAUAUCACGCAGAACUCCGAUUGCGAAGGCAGCGUACCGGCGCCCAACUGACGCUGAAGCACGAAGGCGUGGGUAUCGAACAGGAUUAGAUACCCCAGUAAC
Molecule: ribosomal RNA, 469 nt
Filed under: uncultured bacterium
Lineage: Bacteria
Description: bacterial SSU rRNA
Rfam family: Bacterial small subunit ribosomal RNA
Source: RNAcentral